GAUGAACGCUGGCGGCGUGCUUAAGACAUGCAAGUCGAACGGAGUGUGUAGCAAUACUCACUAAGUGGCGAAUGGGUGAGUAACACGUGGGUAAUUUGCCUUUGGGUGGGGAAUAACUCAGGGAAACUUGAGCUAAUACCGCAUAAUGCAGCGGCUCGACAUCGAGACAGUUGUUAAAGCGGGGGAUCGCAAGACCUCGCGCCUGAAGAGAAGCCUGCGGCAGAUUAGCUAGUUGGUAGGGUAAUGGCCUACCAAGGCGACGAUCUGUAACCGGCCUGAGAGGGCGGUCGGUCACACUGACACUGACAUACGGGUCAGACUCCUACGGGAGGCAGCAGUCGGGAAUUUUGGGCAAUGGGCGCAAGCCUGACCCAGCAACGCCGCGUGAAGGA
Molecule: ribosomal RNA, 392 nt
Filed under: uncultured bacterium
Lineage: Bacteria
Description: bacterial SSU rRNA
Rfam family: Bacterial small subunit ribosomal RNA
Source: RNAcentral